UUGCGUAGGUGGCGAAGUAAGUUGGUAGUGAAAGCGUUCGGCUCAACCGGAUAAACAUUACCAAAACUGCUUUAGCUAGAGGAUGAGAGAGGUUAUUGGAAUUCCCUGUGUAGGAGUGAAAUCCGUAGAUAUAGGGAGGAACACCGAUGGCGUAGGCAGAUAACUGGCUCAUUCCUGACACUAAGGCACGAAAGCGUGGGGAGCAAACGG
This 210-nucleotide ribosomal RNA is filed under the name uncultured bacterium. RNAcentral describes it as "partial 16S ribosomal RNA". It matches the Rfam family "Bacterial small subunit ribosomal RNA", at positions 567 to 775 of the family's 1533-position model. The record is from RNAcentral.